CCUACGGGAGGCAGCAGUGAGGAAUAUUGGUCAAUGGCCGAGAGGCUGAACCAGCCAAGUCGCGUGAGGGAAGACGGCCCUACGGGUUGUAAACCUCUUUUGUCGGGGAGCAAAGAGAGUCACGUGUGACUCAUUGAGAGUACCCGAAGAAAAAGCAUCGGCUAACUCCGUGCCAGCAGCCGCGGUAAUACGGAGGAUGCGAGCGUUAUCCGGAAUGACUGGGCGGAAAGGGUGCGUAGGUGGUCUGGCAAGUUAGUAGCGAAACUCCAAGGCUCAACCUUGGAACUACUACUAAAACUGUUGGACUUGAGUGCAGGAGGGGCAACCGGAAUUCCUAGUGUAGCGGUGGAAUGCGUAGAUAUUAGGAGGAACACCAGUGGCGAAGGCGGGUUGUUAGACUGUAACUGACACUGAGGCACGAAAGCGUGGGGAGCAAACAGGAUUAGAUACCCUAGUAGUC
This 460-nucleotide ribosomal RNA is filed under the name uncultured bacterium. Its description in RNAcentral is "partial 16S ribosomal RNA". It matches the Rfam family "Bacterial small subunit ribosomal RNA", at positions 338 to 795 of the family's 1533-position model. The record is from RNAcentral.